This 479-nucleotide ribosomal RNA is filed under the name uncultured bacterium. RNAcentral's name for it is "bacterial SSU rRNA". It matches the Rfam family "Bacterial small subunit ribosomal RNA", at positions 28 to 501 of the family's 1533-position model. The record is from RNAcentral.
GACGAACGCUGGCGGCGUGCUUAACACAUGCAAGUCGAGCGGUAAGGCCCUUUCGGGGGUACACGAGCGGCGAACGGGUGAGUAACACGUGGGUGACCUGCCCUCAGCUCUGGGAUAAGCCUGGGAAACCGGGUCUAAUACCGGAUAUGACUCCAUGACGCAUGUUGUGGGGUGGAAAGCCUUGUGCGGCUGAGGAUGGGGCCCGCGGCCUAUCAGCUUGUUGGUGGGGUGAUGGCCUACCAAGGCGACGACGGGUAGCCGGCCUGAGAGGGCGACCGGCCACACUGGGGACUGAGACACGGCCCAGACUCCUACGGGAGGCAGCAGUGGGGAAUCUUGCGCAAUGGGCGAAAGCCUGACGCAGCGACGCCGCGUGAGGGAGGAAAUCCUUCGGGAUGUAAACCUCACAAGCAAGGGAAGAGAGCUCAGGGCCGAAUAAGCUUUGAGUCCGACGGUACCUUGCGUAAGCCACGGCUAAC